CUACGGGGCGCACCAGUAGGGAAUAUUGGACAAUGGGCGAAAGCCUGAUCCAGCAACACCGCGUGCACGAUGACGGCCUUCGGGUUGUAAAGUGCUUUUAGAGGAGAUGAGAAAGGACAGUAUCCUCUGAAUAAGCCUCGGCGAACUACGUGCCAGCAGCCGCGGUAAAACGUAGGAGGCAAGCGUUAUCCGGAUUUAUUGGGCGUAAAGCGCGUGCAGGCGGUCUAGCAAGUUGGAUGUGAAAGCGCCCGGCUCAACUGGGAGAGGUCGUUCAAUACUGUUAGACUAGAGAAUAGGAGAGGGAGGUGGAAUUCCGGGUGUAGUGGUGAAAUGCGUAGAUAUCCGGAGGAACACCAGUGGCGAAAGCGGCCUCCUGGACUAUUUCUGACGCUAAGACGCGAAAGCUAGGGUAGCAAACGGGAUUAGAUACCCCGGUAGUC
This 440-nucleotide ribosomal RNA is filed under the name uncultured bacterium. RNAcentral's name for it is "partial 16S ribosomal RNA". It matches the Rfam family "Bacterial small subunit ribosomal RNA", at positions 339 to 795 of the family's 1533-position model. The record is from RNAcentral.